CAAAAAAAAAAAUAAUGGUCAAUUUGCUAUUUGGAACCUCACUGGACUUUUAGCUCAUACCACGCUAUUUGUUUUCCUUACAGGGAUACGAGUGACGCGCGAGACUUGUAAAAGCUAACGUAGCCUUUUGUUUUGACUUUUGACUUUUUGGUCUUGUACUCGCGCUAUUCCUUGAAUGGAACAUGAUGUACUUGGAUUGUAUACGUUUUGAGCUAGUUUGGUGUAUUAACACUUUGUACCCCGUUUUCUAUCAAUGUAAAUUAUAAGCUUGAAUUGUGAAUGUUAAUUAUGGUUCAUGGAUGUGUGUACAUGACUCGAUUGAGUUAGUGAGUGAGUCCUGGCGAGAGCUGGGCAGGCGGUCCGCCGAACCCUUUGGUAUGCCUUAGGGGGAGGUGGGGUCGUCACAGAUGGUAUCAGAGCUCUUAUUGAGCUCGUGCCGGGAGAGGGUUCUCGGACUGUGGGGAUUGACUUGUUAAGUAUGGAACAAUUGUCUAUUGUUGGGGAUCUUAGAUAUGUAUGUUGGGUAGGAAUCUCUAAUAGGGUGAUUUGCUCUUGAGCCUGGCCAGCUUGAGUGGUGAAUUAUCAUAUUUUCGGAUUCUUGUCCCCGAAUACCAAAGAGUGACAUCUUUACGAUUAGCUGAGAUCUCGUGUAAUAUUUGGAUAAGUUUGGAUGGUGAAAGCAAAGGCACAGGGAAUGCGAGUAGUCUGGACUUGAAAAAUAUUGAAGAUAUUCAUGGGAUUUGGGAUCUUUCUUAUUCAUGUGUUUCGAGCCUUGAUUAAGUAUAGUGCCUGAGCGAUACCUAGGGUUAAUGCUCGAUAAGUUAUGUGACUUGUUUUGCUCGAAUGUAUUGUAUUGCCUUGUUUUAUGAUUUAGAGGGGUUAUGAUUUGCAAUAUUCUGUUUUAUGUUGUUUGUAUUUAUAUAGUUACUUAGUGGCUAUGAUCUAUUAUUGAUUAGUUGGUUAUAUUGUUCUAGUUUAUUAGCUGCGAAACAUGGAAGAUAAAAGAAGUCGGACCAAGAAAAAAUUAAUCGAGAACGCGGUUCUAGGCGAGGCCGUGAAGGUGAACAAGCACAGGAACUGGUGCCAGAACCGAGAGAGGAGAGGGAGGCAGCGGUUGAGCAGCAACCUGAACCCCAGACUGUCGGGGGAGAUCAGGUGGCCACUGCCAUCCAACAGAUGACUAAUAUUUUGACUCGGUUGGUGGAGCAACAGGGUCAAGGUUCUGUAAACCAACCUAGAGACCCUGAUAUGGGGCAGGAUAGAGCUUUGGAGAGAUUCCAAAAGUUCUCCCCACCCAAGUUUUUAGGAGGGCCAGACCCGUAUGAGGCUGAGAAAUGGCUGGAGGCCAUGAUAAAUAUCUUUGCUGCCCUAAACUAUACUGAGGAGAGACAAGUCCAAUUUGUUGUAUUUCAGUUUGAGGGGCCAGCUAGGGCUUGGUGGAAUGUAGUGAGGGCCAAGUGGGAGAGAGAGGGAACUGCCUGGACUUGGCUAAAUUUUGCACGGGACUUCAACGAAAAAUACCUUCCACCCAUCAUCCAGGAGAAGAGAGAGGACGAAUUCAUUAAACUCCGUCAGGGGAUGUUGAGUGUAACUGAGUAUGAGACUCAGUUUACAAAGUUGUCCAAAUUUGCUCCUGAACUGAUAGCUACGGAGCCGAGAAAAGUACGGAGGUUUAUACAAGGACUGAAUGUGGAAUUACAAGAAGCCUUAGCAGCGGUCCAAAUUAAUACUUUCACGGAGGUUCUGGAGAAAGCCUUGAGGAUAGAGACUGCUAGGGCACAAGUGAGAGCUUUCCAUGCAAAAAGGAGAGGUGCGCCUGGUGGAAGUCAAAGGCAAGGACAAAGUGAUUUUGAUAUGCCACCUUCUAAGAUAAGCCGAGGAGAUAGUAGUGAGAAAAUUUCAGGGAUAUCUAAGGAAAGUACUCCAAGAGGAGCUUCGCGUGGCUGGGGUCAAGCAAGAGGUGCCUCACAAGGAGGUCAGACCUCAACCCCUCAAGUACCUUGCGGGUACUGUGGGAAGGCCAAUCACGUGGAGAGUGAUUGUUGGCGAAAGGCGGGAAAAUGUUUAUGGUGUGGUAGCACCGAACACCAGCUUGUAACCUGUCCCCGUAGAUCACGUCUAAACCCUGAACAAGCAAGUGUAGGAGGGACUAAGCCAAGAGUGCCAGCUAGAACGUAUGCCUUGAACCAACAGGCAGUACCUGAACCAACGGAGAUAGUAGAAGGUACGAUUCGUGAUUUCUAUUGUUUCUCUAAGUUUUGGCUAUAGUGAGACCUGAGAGCCGGAAAUGAAUAUAUAAGGAAAAUACCCUACGUUAUUCGAAGUGCAUGUAUGAAUUUCGAGGUCGAAAUUCUUUUAAGGGGGAAAGGAUGUGAGGACCCGCAAAUUUCCUACAUUUUUCUUCAAAAAUGCCUUUUAUUUGAAAAUUAUUAUUUAUUAAGGCCCCUACCUCAUUAUAUCACACUAAGUGUAAAUAAACCUAGAAAAUAAGGUUUUACGCUUUGGUUUCAAGUUUUGAGCAAAAUUAGGGUUUUUGCGAUUUUUCCGCCGGAUGAAUUUUCGGUACUGGCCAAGGAUCAAUUUGAUGAUUAAAAGUGACUUUUAAGUGAGAAAUAAUAUGUGACUAGUGGCAAUGAUAUAAGGUUAGUGAAUGGGAAAUAAAAACCCUAGUACGUGAGUUUUUAAGAAAAACGGCGCGAUCCGGCGGGUCCCGCGCAUUACCGAUUGAACGCACCGCUUGACCACCAUUUUUCUUACCCAACAAGUUGUUGACUUUUGCACAUAAUAUCUUCUCUCUUGGCAGCAUGUUGACAGAAAAUUGGUGGCUAAGAAAGGCAAGAAAGAAAGAGAAAAAAAAAAAAAGAAAAAAAGAAAGGGUGGUGGUGGUGACACUUGUCACCACCUCAUGGUUUCUUACCAAGACAAACUUCAUCCAUAUAACCUUAACACUUAGCCAAUUCUUCCUCAUUUCUGCUAGUGCUGGCCGAACUUAGCUUGGAGAAAACACCAAGGAAGAUUUCUUCAUUUCACCUUCAAAUCCAACAACUUAGUGAGAAAAUCCACAAAGUAAACCGAUUAAACCUACUCUUGAGUGAUUAUCUAGUGAUUGGUGGUGGAAAUUUGGGAAGAGAAAGCUUGGGGCUGCUCUUAGGGACUUCUAAUCAAGGUAAGAGGAUGAUAUCUCUCUAACUUUCUCUUUCAAUCAUGGUUAAAGUAAGCUUGGUAGCUUGAUUGGUGGUAGAUUCAUGGAUGCUAGCAUGUGUAGGAGUUUUUCCCCAAUUUAUUUGAUGAACUAGGGUUUCUGAAUUUCUGCUCAAGUUGAAGUAUGAUGCAUGAAUGUUGCAAUUAAAGUUAUAUAAGGUUGUUUAGUGGUGAUUAGAACCAGAAAUUUGAGGAAAUUACACUUAGAGCUAAAAAUUCCAGAUUUCUGGAAAAUUUCCCAAGCAUUCUGUCCGAAAUUGUACCUAUAUGUUAGAGGCCGAAUUGGCCUUUGGUCAAAGAAGGAAAGUUGUAUAGAAUGGUGUUUUAUAAGUUCCUGUAAAAUUUCAGCUCAAUCGGAGCAACGUAGGAUGUGAAAAGUCCAAAAUACCCCUACUGUUUUAAGAAUUUCCCAGCAGUCCGUUUCUUCAGUUCAGUCCAGUUUAUCACGAUUUUUGACCAGGAUCCAUUCUGAUUUAGCUCUGGGCCAAAACAUAAAAGUUGUAGUGUUCUGAAGUAGCUUUAAAAUGCUUCAAAGAAAAUCUGAUUCGGACUUGUGUACACUGAGUUAGGUCCGUUACAGCAUAAUGCGUUUAAACUGCCGGUGAAUUGGUUUCUGGUUUAGUAAUCUGAGAUUUUGACUAAGUUACAUUAGGAAAUGGACUAAGUGACCUUCAUGAAUGUUGUAGCUCUGUGUCUUAGCUUCGAAACGGCAUAGGUUUCGUUUUAAUCCGAUAAACGUAGCCUCAGGUAUGGUAUUACCGCAUUUGUACGUCAAAUCUGUCUUGAACUACAUUGCGUUUCUGCACUUGUACUUGAUGCGAUUCGUGUUGUUAUGAUAUUGUGAGCCUAUGGAACGGCUCUUGAAAUAAAUUGCUUAUUUGUAUGAUGUUGGGAUGUUGUUGAAGAAAAAUAAUGAAGCCUAAAUGGCUGGAAAUUAGGUAAACACAAAGGGCAUGCUGCCCGAAUUUUUACUCGAGGUCUAGAAAACUCUCUUUGUGACUUGAGUGAAGGUUAAGUGAUUAUUCCUUGAACUAUCGAGGACCUUUGUCAUUUGUUUAUCAAGGGUUAUAUGUUAGGACUUGACCGAACUUGUACCCUUAGGAAAACGAUAUGAAUCACUACGAAACCGUUUUAUUUGCACUUUUGACUCAAGAGUCAUCUUCAAGCAAAAAUGUUAUCAAAUUUUUCAGUUUGAAGAGCGAGCAACUAUUUCACGACUACUCUCCAAGUGAAUUCCAGUUUCUUGAUUUUGAUUGAAUAAAACGUCUAAGUUUCGAAUCUUAGUCAUAUUUCAAAGUUCUCAAACUGAGUUUUAUCGCAGAUUUGGACUCCGAACCCGGAGUAUACCCUGAAAGUGAUCAAUAAAGGCACUAUAUCUUUUGGUGAGUGCUUUCAAAUACUGAAUUGAACUUGAUACUUGAACUUGAUACAUGACCAAUAUGAGUACAUGUUAUAUACGUGAAUUGAUAGGGCAAGAGUGUACUUUAUCGCACUUGCCCUUACGUGAUAUACUUGUUUAUUGAUUGCAAUUGACUUGAUAUACUCGUUCAUGAUGUGCGCACUUCCUGGAAUUCCGGAAACCCUGUGGCGAGUUACUCGAGUCGAGCCGGCAAGGGCCUGGUCGAUUAGAUAACAAACCCUGGGUCACUUGUAAUGUCGAGUGGAGUGUUAUCUCCUCGACUAACGGUAUACUCGAGUAUUACCACCCAUGUUUAUUGAGGAUUUUGGGCCCAGUAGGGGGUGUGAAUGGUGGACGGAGAGUCGUGUCAGUGGUGUUCUACUGGAUUGGUUACUUACUUGAAAGUUGACGGAGUGUCAACUACUACGUGAUCAAGCUUCUGGUAAUGAAAUGGGAAUUUGGCUCCUGAGAGUCAUCCGUAUCCUUAUACUUUGGAGUGAUUAUUGCUUAUUGGAUUAUUGUUGCUUGUGAAAAACUUCUACACUCGCUCAUUUUGAGAUUGCUACUUGACGUGUUAUUGUUCACAUUUAUGAACUCUUCAUGCUCGUUACUUUGCUAUAUCGAAACUUGUACAAAAAAAAAAAAUAAUGGUCAAUUUGCUAUUUGGAAUCUCACUGGGCUUUUAGCUCAUACCACGCUAUUUGUUUUCCUUACAGGGAUACGAGUGACGCGCGAGACUUGUAAAAGCUAACGUAGCCUUUUGUUUUGACUUUUGACUUUUUGGUCUUGUACUCGCGCUAUUCCUUGAAUGGAACAUGAUGUACUUGGAUUGUAUACGUUUUGAGCUAGUUUGGUGUAUUAAGACUUUGUACCCCGUUUUCUAUCAAUGUAAAUUAUAAGCUUGAAUUGUGAAUGUUAAUUAUGGUUCA
Molecule: long non-coding RNA, 5529 nt
Filed under: Coffea arabica (coffee)
Lineage: Eukaryota; Viridiplantae; Streptophyta; Magnoliopsida; Gentianales; Rubiaceae
Description: long non-coding RNA (CARA_LNC005484)
Source: RNAcentral